This is a small nucleolar RNA of Hyla sarda, 219 nucleotides long. RefSeq annotates it as small nucleolar RNA U3. NCBI's taxonomy places the organism in Eukaryota, Metazoa, Chordata, Amphibia, Anura, Hylidae. The record is from RefSeq and is a predicted model, not a curated record. The transcript has a single exon.
AGGACUAUACUUUCAGGGAUCAUUUCUAUAGGUCUUAAUUGUGGAAAUGUCACAGAAAGUGUCCAAGCUCACCAACCAUGAGGAGGAGCUGUAGUGAUCUCUCUUGAGCGCGAAGUGAGCUUUCAGUUCUGCUUCAUUGCAGGGACUGGCUGCUGUUGAUGACCGUUCUCCUCCUUCUCUAUCAUAGAGAGGGUGGAGAGAGAUUACAAGCUGAGUGGU